This 1067-nucleotide long non-coding RNA is filed under the name Equus caballus (horse). Its description in RNAcentral is "lncRNA (ENSECAG00000052351.1)". Lineage: Eukaryota; Metazoa; Chordata; Mammalia; Perissodactyla; Equidae. The record is from RNAcentral.
ACAAAACAGAGGGUAUUAUUUUACAAAUAUGAAACAGUAAUAUAUCAGCUAUGGAGGUCUGCGGGAGCCUAAAAACAUAAACUAGAAUAUUUUUAAAUCAUCUGAAAUCUCAUCAUACUGCCCUCUAGAUGGGUAUCAUUCCUGUCUUUGUUCCAGUUUAUUUAAAUAUGGAGAUAUUUGGACUCAGAGAAGAAAAGUAAACGCUCGAAGUCACAGAACUAGGAUUGAAGCCAGCCUUUACUGAGUGAGUUAUUUGCAGUUGUGCUGGUAAAUGUGCAACAAUCAACUCCCUGAAAAUAACAUGUUCUUCAUUACAAAAGGAUUAUCUCUCUACGAGUUGCAAAUAUUUUUCCUGGUGUAUCAUUUGUCCUAUGGUUUUACAUGCUAUUAUUAUUACCCUGGAGAAUAUCCGGUGUUACCUCGACCACUUUUGAUUAAGAAAACUGCAGAAAGUUAGUAACUGCCACAAACGAACGCCAGGCGGUGGCCCGUGUCAAUUUUCCACAGAGUCCUGCUUUGCGGGGUGUCUGAAUGCACUGCUCGGGGUCUCUGCUCACACUUACUGGAAUCAAUCGUGGCAGAUUUUAGUCCACAGGUCGCUUUUCCCCAUAUUUCUUUGUAAACUCUUCAGCGUUCUUACAGAAAUUUUUACGGUCCUUAGAGUAUUCUUCAGCUAGGUCAGCCCGAAGCGGGUGCUCAGGCUGGGGGUCGUUCACCAGUGCUAUGAGGGACCGGAUUACUUGGUCGGUUUUGGUUGCUGGCUUCCAGUUUUCAGCACUAAUUACCGGCAGUCAGACCUGCCCCUUUUCAUCAAUGUUCGGGUGAUAGAUCUUUGUUUUAAAUGUGAUCUUCGGUGGUUUGAAUGGGUACUCUGCCGGAAAGUUGAUUUCGAUUCUGAAGGUCCCAUUGUCAUAUGGAGGGUUGUCAGGAACAAUAAGCCCUUGCCAAGUCAAUAAAUUAGCUUCAUCAAUCUGGAUGUUACGGAAGUUUUUCAUUCCACAUUUGCGGAUUUCUUCAAGCUCCUUCAUCAGCCUCCUGCUGGCCGCCAUCUUGGAUCUGGUGCUGCU